CCUACGGGGGGCUGCAGUGGGGAAUUUUCCGCAAUGGGCGCAAGCCUGACGGAGCAAUACCGCGUGAGGGAGGACGGCUUUUGGGUUGUAAACCUCUUUUAUUGGGGAAGAAGUUCUGACGGUACCCAAUGAAUCAGCAUCGGCUAACUCCGUGCCAGCAGCCGCGGUAAUACGGAGGAUGCAAGCGUUAUCCGGAAUUAUUGGGCGUAAAGCGUCCGCAGGUGGUUUUACAAGUCUGCUGUCAAAGCAUGGAGCUUAACUCCAUUAGGGCAGUG
This 275-nucleotide ribosomal RNA is filed under the name uncultured bacterium. RNAcentral's name for it is "partial 16S ribosomal RNA". It matches the Rfam family "Bacterial small subunit ribosomal RNA", at positions 338 to 628 of the family's 1533-position model. The record is from RNAcentral.